UUCGGAGGAUCCAAGCGUUAUCCGGAUUUAUUGGGUUUCAAGGGUGCGUAGGCGGCCAGUUAAGUCAGGGGUGAAAGACGGUAGCUCAACUAUCGCAGUGCCUUUGAUACUGAUUGGCUUGAAUGUACUUGAGGUAGGCGGAAUGUGACAAGUAGCGGUGAAAUGCAUAGAUAGGUCACAGAACAACAAUUGCGAAGGCAGCUUACUAAAGUAUGAUUGACGCUGAGGCACGAAAGCGUGGGGAUCAAACAGG
RNAcentral lists this ribosomal RNA (253 nucleotides) under uncultured bacterium. RNAcentral's name for it is "partial 16S ribosomal RNA". It matches the Rfam family "Bacterial small subunit ribosomal RNA", at positions 524 to 776 of the family's 1533-position model. The record is from RNAcentral.